AUGUUGAAAAUGGACUUUUCCUGUUUGGUUGGAGAGAGAAAAGCAUAUCUAAACUCUUUUGUCAGUUCAGCUUUGUUUUUACUGAUUUUUCUACUUUUUCUUCAGGCAGCAGAUGAGCCUGCCUACCUAACAGUGGGGACUGAUGUCAGUGCCAAAUAUCGGGGUGCUUUCUGUGAGGCAAAAAUUAAGACAGUGAAAAGGCUAGUGAAAGUUAAGGUGAUCUUAAAGCAAGAUAAUUCAACACAAUUGGUGCAAGAUGAUCAGGUGAAAGGACCUUUGAGGGCUGGUGCAGUUGUUGAAACCAAGAUGCCUGAUGGAACCUUUCAAGAAGCUAUCAUCAGUAAAUUGACAGAUGCCAGCUGGUAUACUGUGGUUUUUGAUGAUGGUGAUGAGAGGACAUUGAGACGGACCUCACUGUGUUUGAAGGGGGAGAGGCACUUUGCUGAAAGCGAGACACUUGACCAACUGCCACUAACAAAUCCAGAGCACUUUGGAACACCUGUAAUUGGAAAGAAGUCCAACAGAGGAAGAAGGUCGUCUCUUCCUGUCAAUGAAGAUGAAAAAGAAGAAGAAACUAGUGAAGAGGAAGAGGAAGAUAAGAGACGUCUUAAUGAUGAAUUGCUUGGUAAAAUUGUCAGUGUGGUAUCCAGUACUGAAAAGGUCUUAUCCCCCAGCUGCAGUGAUGACAUUUUAGUGAAAAAGGACCAGUGUUUAGUUCGUUCUUUUGCAGAUUCCAAAUUUUAUUCAGUAGCAAGAAAGGACGUUGAAGAAUUAGAUUUUAGAAACUCAGAACUGCCUUCUAAUAAAGGGGUACAAGAGGCAAGCUCUUUCUUCCAUUGGAAAGCCAUUCCUUCUAUUUGGAAGAUGGACAUGCGUGAAAUCUUGGAAUCCUCCAGCAGUGAUGAAGAAGAUGGAGGAGAGACAGGAAGUAAUGAUGAUGAAGAAGAAAAAGGAGAACAAAAAGAGGAAGAACUUGAUCCUGAAGAGAGGGACAAUUUCCUCCAGCAGCUUUACAAGUUUAUGGAAGACAGAGGAACUUCUAUCAAUAAACCACCUGUUUUGGGCUAUAAGGAUCUUAACCUCUUCAAACUUUUCAGACUGGUAUAUCAGCAGGGUGGGUGUGACAAUAUUGAUAGUGGAGCUGUUUGGAAACAAAUUUAUAUGGACCUUGGCAUUCCUAUUUUGAAUUCAGCUGCUUCCUACAAUGUGAAAACUGCGUAUAGAAAGUAUCUUUAUGGUUUUGAAGAAUACUGUCGUUCUGCAAACAUUCAGUUCCGAACCAUCCACCACAAUGAACCAAAAAUAAUUGUAGUACAGAAAAAAGAAGAGCAAAUGGAGGAAAAGGUAAAAGAAGAGCCUGAAAUGUCUCCUGUAGAGAUUCAGAAUGAGAUGGAAGAAAACAACUGUAGCAGUGAAAGUGAAAAAGAAGAACUGGAACAGAGGUCUCAACGGGGACGAAGAAGACAUAUCCGUGAUGCGUCUCUUGUUAAAAAAGAAGGUGAAGAUGAUAAAAUACAAGAUAAGCUAAAAGACAGCAACAAGGAGAAUAAAGACAUAGAAGAGAUUUCCAGUAAUGUAGAGAAGAUUGAAAAUGAUAUGGCACUUGCAAACAGAAAGACUACACCAAAGCAAAAGGAAAAGAGGGCAAAACAGGAAGAGGAAUCUGACAGGGAGUCAGAUGAAGAGGAAGAGAGAAGCAGGGAAGAACUUGAAAAUCGAGAAUCGGAAGGGGAAGAAUGUGAAGAAGAUGCAGAGCCUUGUCUUACAGGAACCAAAGUAAAAGUAAAAUAUGGCCGUGGUAAAACACAGAAAAUCUAUGAAGCUAGUAUUAAAAGUACAGAAAACGAUGACGGAGAGAUUUUGUAUUUGGUGCAUUAUUAUGGCUGGAAUGUUAGAUAUGAUGAAUGGGUAAAAGCUGAUAGGAUUAUUUGGCCUGCAGAAAAAGGAGGACCAAAGAAGAAGCAAAAGAAAAAAACAAAAGUAAAAGACUCUGAAAAAGAUGAAAAGAAAGAGGAAGAAAAACAAAAGGGAAAGCGUGGACGUCCUCCUCUGAAAUCAACUCUUCUAUCAAAUCUCUCUUGUGGUCUGUCUAAAACUCCUAAUAGUGACAGCAAAUCAGGGGUGCGAAGUGCACGCAGCAGCUUGCUGGAUUGUUCACCCUUGCUUAAUGGGACAGAAGGUAUGCCUCGCAGGCAAACAAGACGUAGCUCAGGAAUGUUGGAUUCUGACAGAGGGUCAAAUGACUCAGUUUCAUCAGAUAGUGAAGCAGAUGAAGCUUCUGAAAAGAACAUUAAUGAAGAAUUUUCUCCAGCAAGUUUUGAAAUGGAAAAUGAAAAACGAACAGUUGAUAAGCCUGUUGAAGAGAUUGCAAAGAUCUCACAAAUGCUAAAAGAGAAUGAUCAGAAUCAAGUUCAUCCUUUAGAAAAAUUGAAAUUAGAAAGUGAAGAGAGUGAACAAGUGGUUCAGAAUUGUGGAAGUAAAAAUGAUCAAAUAGAAGAAGUGAAAAGAGAGGUGGAGAAAUCACCUAAAGGAAAAGGCCGGAAGAACCGAACAAGAGAUUCUUUCCUAGAGAAUUCAAAGAUUACGUUACUAAAUCAGGAAGAAACAACCAAUGAACCUGUUGCAGAAUCUGAACGAUUAAAUAUUUCUUCCUUGGAAAAUAAAGGUUUGAGCUCUAAUUCUGAGAAUGAAACAGAUCUCUGGGCAAAAGAUAAGAAGCUUAUGAAAAGAAAAGUGAUAGAACAGCCAUCACCUGACAAAAGGAUACGACAAGAGGGUGAGCUCACUGUGCCACAUAUUGUGACUGAAGAGAAGGCAAAUGAAUGUUAUGGGGCAGAAGAAUGUAAGGAUUUCACUGCUGAUGAGUCUCUUCGAAAUGAGAAUGAAGAAAUGCCAUCAUUGGUGGCAGAAUCAGAUCAACGGCUCCAUGUUAGGGGAAGUGAACCCUUUGAUUGUUCUUCAGAGGAAAACCGUAGCACACUGUUGAAAGAUGAAGAUGACUCCAUGCCUCAAAUUGGUCCUGAAACUCUUCUUUGCCAUGAAGUAGACUUGGAUGAUCUUGAUGAAAAGGACAAGAAUGGGCCUGAAAGUUUGGUUGCAGAAAAGCAUGAUGGUAGUAACCUCACUUCAAAUCCCCCUAUGUUACCUUCUGUGAUCCAGCCAAAUUUCUCUGUUGCCUCACCUCUAAUGUUCAGUCAGGAUGAAUCACCAAGCAUAAAAAGUGAAAGUGACAUGACUAUUGAAGUGGACAGUAUAGCUGAAGAGUCUCAAGAAGGCCUUUGCGAGAAUGAAUCUGCCAAUGGGUUUGAAGCUUCCAGCAACUGUAGCAUAGCUGGUCCAGAAAUUGGAGAAAAGGGACAAAAAAGGCCUGGGGAUAACAGUGGUAGUUCACUGGCAAAGCGGCAAAAGCGUACCCCCAAACGAGCAAGUACGAUAGCCAAAAGUGAGAAAAAUGGGACAGGGCAAAGCAGUGAUAGUGAAGAUCUUCCUGCCCUUGACAGCUCAAGUAAAUGUACUCCUGUAAAGCAUAUUGGUGUAACGAAGCCACAGAAACUCAAUCGAUCGCCUGCCAGAGGGGUAUCUCCUAAUAUCAAAGAUGGGGAUAAGGAGAAACAGAGAGAGAAGAACCAUCAUGUUUCUCCAAGAGUGUACAAAUGGACUGUCCAGCUUAGUAAGUCCUUUUAUGCAUCAGGAAAAUGCAAAAUAAAUCUUGCACACUGGGGUCAAAACACAAAGUAUUUGAAAUGCUGA
This is a long non-coding RNA of Naja naja (Indian cobra), 3750 nucleotides long. NCBI's taxonomy places the organism in Eukaryota, Metazoa, Chordata, Lepidosauria, Squamata, Elapidae. The record is from Ensembl.